UUAAGAACAUGAAUUUUAAUACUAAAUGAUUUUAUUUUUGAAGCAUCAAAAAGCCUAGUAAUGGAGAAAGAAACUUGGUGUGCUAAGAAAGAAGAGUACUGCAAAGGAAUAUUGUUAAUUAAGCCAUAGCAGCUAAAGAUAGCGUACUUUUUGCAUCACGGUUUAGCAAGAGAAUAUCGAAGCUUCGUGCUCUCGAAAACUGGUGAGCUAUUCUUUUUCAAGUUUUAGCUUUUUACUAAAAGUGUAGCAAAACUUUGGUUAAAAAAAAGGAUAGAUAUGAGAUUUUAUCCGCACCGGUGAUAGCUAGUUCCCUUAGAAAAGCAUAGAAGUGCUAAAGUAAAGACAGAUUAGUGAGAAAUAAGACUUAAUAAUUUGUUUUACAUUAUAGUUUAUUAAGGAUAAGCUUAAUAAAAGUACAGGAAAAAGACAUAUACUUUAAUGGGUUACUUGGGCUUGAAAUUAGCCAUUAUAACGAAAUUUGUUAUAAAAUAAUUCUUUCAAUUAAGAGGAUUCCUAUGUUUUUGUUCUGCUCGACAAUAAGGGUAAAAAGUAAAACUAAUAAGCUCAAUUUAUUUAUGCUAAAAUGAGUAUUUUCACACCCACAUGUAGGUAAACACUAAAGGUACCUAUAGUAAUAUAGCUUAAAAAGUUAAAAUAAAAAGAAGGAACUCGGCAAAUUUUACNUCGCCUGUUUAUCAAAAACAUGGCUCUUUGUUGUUUUAAUAUAAAGAGUCAGGCCUGCCCAGUGAAAACUUUUAACGGCCGCGGUACCCUGACCGUGCAAAGGUAGCAUAAUCAUUUGCCUUAUAAUUGAAGGCUUGUAUGAAUGGUUCAACGAAAGCACUGCUGUCUCCUUUUUAAUAGAUAGAAUUUGACUUCUAGGUGAAGAGGCCUAGAUAUAAUUGAAAGACAAAAAGACCCUGUCGAGCUUUAAAAGUCAAGUUAGAAAUACUUAUAAAAUAAUUUAGAUCUAGCACUAACUGUUCUUUUUGGUUGGGGCGACCAAGGAACAAUAAAAGCUUCCUUUUCUAAUUUAACUUAUAGGUACUGAUCCAGCAUAAAGCUGAUUGAAAAAAUUAGUUACCGCAGGGAUAACAGCAUAAUCUCUCUUGAGAGACCAAAUCGAAAGGGGGGGUUGUGACCUCGAUGUUGGACUAGAAUGUCCUAAAGAUGCAGAAGUCUUUAAAGGUUGGUCUGUUCGACCAUUAAAAUUCUACAUGAUCUGAGUUCAGACCGGCGUGAGCCAGGUCAGUUUCUAUCUUCAAUUAUUAGUUUAAUUUUAGUACGAAAGGAUCGGAUUAAAGAAAUUAUUUUGAAUUGAGAAAAAAUAUAAUACAAAAAUAAAUCACAUUUUCUUAAA
RNAcentral lists this ribosomal RNA (1360 nucleotides) under Brotia sp. WH-2000. RNAcentral's name for it is "mt LSU rRNA". It matches the Rfam family "Bacterial large subunit ribosomal RNA", at positions 418 to 2826 of the family's 2925-position model. Lineage: Eukaryota; Metazoa; Mollusca; Gastropoda; Pachychilidae. The record is from RNAcentral.